GACGAACGCUGGCGGCGUGCUUAACACAUGCAAGUCGAACGGAAAGGCCCUGCUUUUGUGGGGUGCUCGAGUGGCGAACGGGUGAGUAACACGUGAGUAACCUGCCCUUGACUUUGGGAUAACUUCAGGAAACUGGGGCUAAUACCGGAUAGGAGCUCCUGCUGCAUGGUGGGGGUUGGAAAGUUUCGGCGGUUGGGGAUGGACUCGCGGCUUAUCAGCUUGUUGGUGGGGUAGUGGCUUACCAAGGCUUUGACGGGUAGCCGGCCUGAGAGGGUGACCGGCGACAUUGGGACUGAGAGACGGCGCAGACUCCUACGGGAGGCAGUAGUGGGGAAUAUUGCACAAUGGGCGGAAGCCUGAUGCAGCAACGCCGCGUGCGUGAUGACGGCCUACGGGUUGUAAACCGCUUUCGACGGUGACGAAGCGUGAGUGACGGUACUGGGUAAAGAAGCACCGGCUAACUACGUG
This 468-nucleotide ribosomal RNA is filed under the name uncultured bacterium. Its description in RNAcentral is "partial 16S ribosomal RNA". It matches the Rfam family "Bacterial small subunit ribosomal RNA", at positions 28 to 507 of the family's 1533-position model. The record is from RNAcentral.